UACGUAGGGGGCGAGCGUUGUCCGGAUUCAUUGGGCGUAAAGAGCUCGUAGGCGGUUUGGCAAGUCGGGUGUGAAAUCUCUGGGCUCAACUCAGAGAGGCCACUCGAUACUGCUAUGACUAGAGUCCGGUAGGGGACCAUGGAAUUCCUGGUGUAGCGGUGAAAUGCGCAGAUAUCAGGAGGAACACCGGUGGCGAAGGCGGUGGUCUGGGCCGGCACUGACGCUGAGAAGCGAAAGCGUGGGGAGCGAACAGG
Molecule: ribosomal RNA, 254 nt
Filed under: uncultured bacterium
Lineage: Bacteria
Description: partial 16S ribosomal RNA
Rfam family: Bacterial small subunit ribosomal RNA
Source: RNAcentral